GUCUGUUUAACGAUUUGCUUCACCUUUUCAACCAACAAUUAAAAUAUUCCUCAUUCCAUUUAUCAUACAACAUAUUAAUGAUUUUUUGAGGAGUGUAGCACUUGAGCUGCACUGGCAUUUGAUCCGUAUCCGCCUUCCCUCUUCUCGUAAUCAUUUUACUUUGGGACUAUUCCUGAAUAAUCUAUCGAAAUCGUUUGUUUAAGUCGGAUUUCGUUUGCACACGAAUCAGCGCUGAUCAUUCUCGAUUCACUCUCAAAAUGAUUUCCAUUCAAGCCAGGUUUUAAAAUGCGUUGACGGAUGGGAAGAACAACUCAAGCGCAACAAAUUUCAUUGUGGGUUUUC
Molecule: long non-coding RNA, 342 nt
Filed under: Drosophila guanche
Lineage: Eukaryota; Metazoa; Arthropoda; Insecta; Diptera; Drosophilidae
Source: RNAcentral